GGCAUCAGCGUGCUCCGGGCGUCGGCCUG
Molecule: small nuclear RNA, 29 nt
Filed under: Arabidopsis thaliana (thale cress)
Lineage: Eukaryota; Viridiplantae; Streptophyta; Magnoliopsida; Brassicales; Brassicaceae
Description: snRNA_07956
Source: RNAcentral